This 305-nucleotide unclassified non-coding RNA is filed under the name Hevea brasiliensis (rubber tree). Lineage: Eukaryota; Viridiplantae; Streptophyta; Magnoliopsida; Malpighiales; Euphorbiaceae. The record is from RNAcentral.
CAAAUUGUAGGAGAAAGGAAGCUAAAAACCGCUCUCACUUUCUCUCUCUAGAAAAACAAAAAACUCUCUCCCUCUUUCUCUCUCUAACAUCAAUGGCGUCGCCACGCGAGGAAAACGUGUACAUGGCGAAGCUUGCCGAGCAAGCUGAGCGUUACGAGGAGAUGGUAGAGUUCAUGGAAAAAGUUGUCGCUGCCGCCGAUGGUGCAGAGGAGUUAACCGUUGAAGAACGAAAUCUCCUCUCCGUUGCGUAUAAGAAUGUGAUCGGAGCACGGAGAGCUUCAUGGAGGAUCAUUUCCUCCAUUGAG